This 253-nucleotide ribosomal RNA is filed under the name uncultured bacterium. RNAcentral's name for it is "partial 16S ribosomal RNA". It matches the Rfam family "Bacterial small subunit ribosomal RNA", at positions 524 to 776 of the family's 1533-position model. The record is from RNAcentral.
UACGUAGGGCGCAAGCGUUGUCCGGAAUUAUUGGGCGUAAAGCGCGCGCAGGCGGUCCUUUAAGUCUGAUGUGAAAGCCCGCGGCUCAACCGUGGAGGGUCAUUGGAAACUGGGGGACUUGAGUACAGAAGAGAAGAGUGGAAUUCCACGUGUAGCGGUGAAAUGCGUAGAGAUGUGGAGGAACACCAGUGGCGAAGGCGACUCUUUGGUCUGUAACUGACGCUGAGGCGCGAAAGCGUGGGGAGCAAACAGG